AUGUGUUUUUUUUCUUAUAAAUACGACAAAUAACACCUGGCUCAUUCAAUUUUGAACGUUUCCAUCACUUCACAGCAAAAAAGAUCAGCUGAGUAUGGCUGAACAUCAAGUUCUGUGUCUUCUCCUUUUGACGGCUGUUAUUUGUCAAACAAGCGAUGCUUGGUUGAUAAACAAAAAAUGGCAAGAAAAAAAUUGUUUUUGUCAGGUGGUUCUAAAUUAUGGUAUCCAGAAUGUUGUCCGCGAUAUGGGUUCCAUUGUUAGAUGUAAAGAAUUGUUUGGUUGUAGUUGUAACCACAUUAAAAUGAGAUCUUGCUAUGCUAACUGUGAAGAUGAAGUUAAACGAUGGGCCCAGACCAGUUGUCCAUCCCAUCUGAUUGGUCAACAAAUCCGCGCCAAAUAUAAAGCCAGCACUUGUCAUAAUGGACUAACCCGUGCUGUUAUUAUUUGUUCUGGCAAUACUGGUAGUGCUAGUACUGGUGGACGAGGUGGCAGUGGUGUUAGAGUCAGAGGUGGCGGAGAAGGUGGAAGUGGUAGAGUCAGAGUUGGAAGCGGCGGCAUUGGUCGUAGAGUAAUUGCUGGUGUUCAACAAUGAUGGUAUUAAGACGGAUCCUGUCCCCAUUAUAGAACAAUGUCCGCUUCUACCGAGGGUGUUAUCGUAGACAAGACAGACCAACGAGAUGUAGACUACAUCUACACAUCUUUAUUGACGUCAAAGUUCAAAUCCCAAAUUUCCUUAAAUUGCGAUGGAAACUAUGACCAUAAGGCACCAUUUAUAUUACAUUCAAAUCAUUUUUACGUGUGAAACAACAUUAUUGAACAUCUGCUUUCCACCUAUAAAUGAUAUUGCAUAAAAAUCUACCUUUAAACAAAUUAUUUAAUUGUGGGCCCUAGCUGUAAAGUACCUGUAACGUGUGCCUCUAAAUGAUCAAUUCAGCAAAGCACGACUAAAAAGGUAAAUUUAAACCUUUGCCAUCAAUUGUCUUGUUUUGCGGGAAAGUGUGUGUGAUUUUUUUCCAUUUUAAUAUUAAAAGAUUCUAAUGGAUUGUCGAAUUAAUUUAGUUUUUGAGAAACAAGCGCUAGUGUGCCCGUUUAUGUUUCAAAAUGUUCCUAAAUUCUGACUUUAAAAAUAAAAAGGUUUGAACAA
Patella vulgata (common limpet) is the source of this 1144-nucleotide long non-coding RNA. RefSeq lists it as uncharacterized. The record is from RefSeq and is a predicted model, not a curated record. NCBI's taxonomy places the organism in Eukaryota, Metazoa, Mollusca, Gastropoda, Patellidae. The transcript is spliced from 3 exons.